GGCCAGUUAGCUCAGUGGUUUGGGCAUGGUGCUGAAACAAUGACAACACCGAGGUCGCGGGUUCAAUUCCUGCUCGGUCCC
RNAcentral lists this transfer RNA (81 nucleotides) under Apaloderma vittatum (bar-tailed trogon). It matches the Rfam family "tRNA". From Rfam's summary of the family: Transfer RNA (tRNA) molecules are approximately 80 nucleotides in length. Their secondary structure includes four short double-helical elements and three loops (D, anti-codon, and T loops). Further hydrogen bonds mediate the characteristic L-shaped molecular structure. tRNAs have two regions of fundamental functional importance: the anti-codon, which is responsible for specific mRNA codon recognition, and the 3' end, to which the tRNAs corresponding amino acid is attached (by aminoacyl-tRNA synthetases). tRNAs cope with the degeneracy of the genetic code in two manners: having more than one tRNA (with a specific anti-codon) for a particular amino acid; and 'wobble' base-pairing, i.e. permitting non-standard base-pairing at the 3rd anti-codon position. Lineage: Eukaryota; Metazoa; Chordata; Aves; Trogoniformes; Trogonidae. The record is from Rfam by way of RNAcentral.